UAAUACAUGCAAGUCGAACGCACAUCUCGUUUAGAUUGAAGGAGCUUGCUCCUUGAUUGAUAAACAUUUGAGUGAGUGGCGGACGGGUGAGUAACACGUGGGUAACCUGCCCUAAAGUGGGGGAUAACAUUUGGAAACAGAUGCUAAUACCGCAUAAAACCUAACACCGCAUGGUGUAGGGUUGAAAGAUGGUUUCGGCUAUCACUUUAGGAUGGACCCGCGGUGCAUUAGUUAGUUGGUGAGGUAAAGGCUCACCAAGACCGUGAUGCAUAGCCGACCUGAGAGGGUAAUCGGCCACACUGGGACUGAGACACGGCCCAGACUCCUACGGGAGGCAGCAGUAGGGAAUCUUCCACAAUGGACGAAAGUCUGAUGGAGCAACGCCGCGUGAGUGAAGAAGGUUUUCGGAUCGUAAAACUCUGUUGUUGGAGAAGAAUGUAUCUGAUAGUAACUGAUCAGGUAGUGACGGUAUCCAACCAGAAAGCCACGGCUAACUACGUNCAANCAGCCA
This 511-nucleotide ribosomal RNA is filed under the name Latilactobacillus sakei. RNAcentral describes it as "bacterial SSU rRNA". It matches the Rfam family "Bacterial small subunit ribosomal RNA", at positions 49 to 517 of the family's 1533-position model. The record is from RNAcentral. Lineage: Bacteria; Bacillati; Bacillota; Bacilli; Lactobacillales; Lactobacillaceae.